RNAcentral lists this long non-coding RNA (2133 nucleotides) under Panax ginseng (ginseng). RNAcentral's name for it is "long non-coding RNA (PGIN_LNC004576)". The record is from RNAcentral. Lineage: Eukaryota; Viridiplantae; Streptophyta; Magnoliopsida; Apiales; Araliaceae.
UGGGGUUUAAGCAGUUUCCCACUUGACCACCUGUAGUCAGUAAAGCUACAUUUAAACUCCCAAACUUUUUGAGUUAAAGUGAAAAAGUAUUUUCCGUCUUAACUCCGUUACUUUAUUUGACUAAAGACUUAAUUACCCUCACCAUGGUAAACAGGAAAUUUGCAAGGAAAAAAGCACAGGCACAAACAUCACCAUAAAAUCCGACAAGGAGACCAAAUAGUUGGCGAAAGACAUGGUUUAGCAGCAAAAAUCUUACAUGGUUUAGCAGCAAAAUCUUUCAUACCCCAAGCUCGUCACGUCAACGGCCAUGGCCUACCAAAUCAAUCUCUGUUCUAAGCUUCACUAAGAACUACGGCUGUGAAGAUCUGUUAGGAGUUAAGUAAGAAGAAAGGAAAUUCAAUUUCAUUAGACCCAUCUCAAUCUCUCCCUCUUCACAGUACUCCUCAUCCCAAUUGAUUAGAUCCACAUCUCAAUUAAUUCGAUCCCCUUCAAAACCUCUCUCGAGCACCUUGUGUGCGCUGCCCAAACUGAACUACCUACCCUCUGUUGCAGUUAUCUCUAACCCAAAAAAAUUUCAAGCUGAUCAAAUCAAUCGGUCAGAACAGCCCAAUGCAAUUAAAAACCAAGGGAAAGCAAUACCAAAUCCGAAAGUUAAAUAAGCAGCCCCAAUGCAUAUCCUCAAUAAUUAGAUGGAAUCUCAGUAAAAAUUGAAUACCUAUAACAGUUUGUUAUCUAAUUCUAUGUUAAAUCACACCUUGUAAAAGAAGCAUCGGUUCCACUUGUAUUUAGGGAUAUCAAAACCCAAGUAUUUUUCCAGUGUAAUUAAGUCCACUAAGAAUGUACAAUUUUUCCAUAACACGACAGUAUUAUUGGUAUACCUCAGAUCGCAAGGUAUGAAAGUUUAAAGCAUAUUUUGUAGCAGAGUAUACAGCUUGACUUGGUGCAGGAGACUUUCCGGCAACACUACUCAUCUGCAUAUAAGAUGAAAUUAACAAGAAAAUUCUAAUGGGGGAGGGGAAGAAGGAAAAAUAUAAAGUGCCAAAGUGGAAAACAAAUCGUAUCCCAUUUAGAAUACCCAUCACUCAGCAGGACUCGAUUAAUAAAUAAAAGAAAAUUUCCAUCUUAAUAUUUAACAGAGAUCCAACCACCACAUAGGGUCGGAUAUGAGGAGAGUCGGCGAAUAAAUCGAUAACAUCGAUAACAUCCAAUUUGAACAAAUAAAUAGAGCAAUAACGAAUAAAUUCAGACCGAGAUGAAAUCAGUUCAAGAUCUGAGAACUAAAAUCAGUUCAAGAUCUGAGAAAAUGGAAAGAUGAAUAGGGAGAAACCCCACAAUCUAAAAGCCCACGCUUUUCCGGCGAAUCCCACCACCGUCUCCGUCAAUAUCGCCGCUGAGAAUCAGAGUGGGUUUGAAGCCUUGUCAAAAAUUGAAGAUUUGUUUAACUUUGAUGAAGCCUCUUCAUUUUCUUCCAUGACUAAACAAAGAGGAGGAAGUUGGGCUAUUUUGGAUAUUUAACGGUUGUUUUUGACUGUUACACCUCCUUCUCACGCGCUUUUUGGCGUCUGACAUACACGCACAGUUAAGUUGGACGGAAAAUAUGACUUUUUCAUUUUAACUCAAAAAAUCGGGAGUUCAAACCCCAGGUGGUCAUCUGAACUUAACCCUUAAAAUAAUAUAUUUUUGGGUCACCUUAAUUCAAUACAAGUUCAUCCAAGAAGAAAAUAUUAUUCCUUCCGUCCUAGGAUAAAAGUCCUGGUGGACUUUUCACGCAUAUUAAGAAAAAGAAUGAAAUGAUAAAAUUGUCAAGCCAUAUUUUAUCUUACAUUAAAUAAAACCAAAAUAAAAUAACUCAUUCAAUCCUCUUCUCCCCUAAUCUAUCAAUUCAAUUCUCUUCUCUAAUCGGAAUAAUUCCCAGAAAGUCGAACCCAUCGGCCAUCACCGACCACAACCACCAUACCUUAUCAUUGCCACUUUCACUCACUCAUCCAUUAUCAAACACAAGCAGCUAAUUAAAAAAAAUAGAAAGAGAACUAAUUGCACCAUCCCCCAUAAAUUCAACACCAACGUUCAUCACUAUCACCAUCAAUAACAAUCCACCGCACCAUGGCACCAUCCCUAUCAGUCGAGCUAGCA